Molecule: ribosomal RNA, 447 nt
Filed under: uncultured bacterium
Lineage: Bacteria
Description: bacterial SSU rRNA
Rfam family: Bacterial small subunit ribosomal RNA
Source: RNAcentral
GGAUUGUAAACUCCUGUCGUUAGGGACGAUAAUGACGGUACCUAACAAGAAAGCACCGGCUAACUACGUGCCAGCAGCCGCGGUAAAACGUAGGGUGCAAGCGUUGUCCGGAAUUACUGGGUGUAAAGGGAGCGCAGGCGGGAAGACAAGUUGGAAGUGAAAACCAUGGGCUCAACCCAUGAAUUGCUUUCAAAACUGUUUUUCUUGAGUAGUGCAGAGGUAGAUGGAAUUCCCGGUGUAGCGGUGGAAUGCGUAGAUAUCGGGAGGAACACCAGUGGCGAAGGCGGUCUACUGGGCACCAACUGACGCUGAGGCUCGAAAGCAUGGGUAGCAAACAGGAUUAGAUACCCUGGUAGUCCCAUGCCGUAAACGCAUGAUUACUAGGUGUUGGGGGAUUGACCCCCUCAGUGCCGCAGUUAACACAAUAAGUAAUCCACCUGGGGAGUA